This is a non-coding RNA of Salvelinus sp. IW2-2015, 221 nucleotides long. Lineage: Eukaryota; Metazoa; Chordata; Actinopteri; Salmoniformes; Salmonidae. The record is from RefSeq and is a predicted model, not a curated record.
UAGAGGACCUCAGAGAAGUGUAUUCCGAAGAGGCUGAAGAAGGAACACGUACCAUGGAUGGCAUCUACAUCCCGGGAUUCCGGCUUAGCUUCCGUCUGUGGCGGAGGAUGACCCACCGUAAGCGUCGCCAGUCCUGCUCCUGUUCUCCCAACACCUCGGCUCUGUCCAGCCCCUAUGAAGAGGUGGUCAGCUACCAGAGACGACCUGACGACCCGCACAGA